UACGAAGGGAGCUAGCGUUGUUCGGAAUCACUGGGCGUAAAGCGCACGUAGGCGGAUUUGUCAGUCAGGGGUGAAAUCCGGGGCUCAACCUCGGAACUGCCUUUGAUACAGCAAGUCUUGAGUUCGAGAGAGGUGGGUGGAAUUCCUAGUGUAGAGGUGAAAUUCGUAGAUAUUAGGAAGAACACCGGUGGCGAAGGCGGCCCACUGGCUCGAUACUGACGCUGAGGUGCGAAAGCGUGGGGAGCAAACAGG
RNAcentral lists this ribosomal RNA (252 nucleotides) under uncultured bacterium. RNAcentral describes it as "partial 16S ribosomal RNA". It matches the Rfam family "Bacterial small subunit ribosomal RNA", at positions 524 to 776 of the family's 1533-position model. The record is from RNAcentral.